RNAcentral lists this ribosomal RNA (161 nucleotides) under Robustodorus arachidis. Its description in RNAcentral is "5.8S ribosomal RNA". It matches the Rfam family "5.8S ribosomal RNA". Rfam says of the family: 5.8S ribosomal RNA (5.8S rRNA) is a component of the large subunit of the eukaryotic ribosome. It is transcribed by RNA polymerase I as part of the 45S precursor that also contains 18S and 28S rRNA. Functionally, it is thought that 5.8S rRNA may be involved in ribosome translocation. Lineage: Eukaryota; Metazoa; Nematoda; Chromadorea; Rhabditida; Aphelenchoididae. The record is from RNAcentral.
UAAAGCCAUAUCGGUGGAUCACUUGGCUCGUAGAUCGAUGAAGAACGCAGUGAAUUGCGUCAAUAACCGCGAAUUACAGAUACCAUGAGCGGCUUGUUUUCGAUUGCAUAUUGCGUCGUUGGGCUUGCGUCCAUCGGCAUAUUCGAUUCAGGGUGUGUAUU